UGUCCCUACGGGGGGCAGCAGUGGGGGACAUUGCACAAUGGGGGAAACCCUGAUGCAGCGACGCCGCGUGGGUGAAGAAGCGCCUCGGCGCGUAAAGCCCUGUCAGCAGGGAAGAAAAUGACGGUACCUGAAGAAGAAGCCCCGGCUAACUACGUGCCAGCAGCCGCGGUAAUACGUAGGGGGCAAGCGUUAUCCGGAUUUACUGGGUGUAAAGGGGGCGCAGACGGCGAUGCAAGCCCGGAGUGAAAGCACGGGGCCCACACCCGGAACUGCUCUUGGAACUGCGUGGCUAGAGUGCAGGAGGG
Molecule: ribosomal RNA, 305 nt
Filed under: uncultured bacterium
Lineage: Bacteria
Description: bacterial SSU rRNA
Rfam family: Bacterial small subunit ribosomal RNA
Source: RNAcentral